RNAcentral lists this ribosomal RNA (1046 nucleotides) under Enterococcus faecium. Its description in RNAcentral is "bacterial SSU rRNA". It matches the Rfam family "Bacterial small subunit ribosomal RNA", at positions 23 to 1047 of the family's 1533-position model. The record is from RNAcentral. Lineage: Bacteria; Bacillati; Bacillota; Bacilli; Lactobacillales; Enterococcaceae.
CUGAGGACGAACGCUGGCGGCGUGCCUAAUACAUGCAAGUCGAACGCUUCUUUUUCCACCGGAGCUUGCUCCACCGGAAAAAGAGGAGUGGCGAACGGGUGAGUAACACGUGGGUAACCUGCCCAUCAGAAGGGGAUAACACUUGGAAACAGGUGCUAAUACCGUAUAACAAUCGAAACCGCAUGGUUUUGAUUUGAAAGGCGCUUUCGGGUGUCGCUGAUGGAUGGACCCGCGGUGCAUUAGCUAGUUGGUGAGGUAACGGCUCACCAAGGCCACGAUGCAUAGCCGACCUGAGAGGGUGAUCGGCCACAUUGGGACUGAGACACGGCCCAAACUCCUACGGGAGGCAGCAGUAGGGAAUCUUCGGCAAUGGACGAAAGUCUGACCGAGCAACGCCGCGUGAGUGAAGAAGGUCGGAUCGUAAAACUCUGUUGUUAGAGAAGAACAAGGAUGAGAGUAACUGUUCAUCCCUUGACGGUAUCUAACCAGAAAGCCACGGCUAACUACGUGCCAGCAGCCGCGGUAAUACGUAGGUGGCAAGCGUUGUCCGGAUUUAUUGGGCGUAAAGCGAGCGCAGGCGGUUUCUUAAGUCUGAUGUGAAAGCCCCCGGCUCAACCGGGGAGGGUCAUUGGAAACUGGGAGACUUGAGUGCAGAAGAGGAGAGUGGAAUUCCAUGUGUAGCGGUGAAGCGUAGAUAUAUGGAGGAACACCAGUGGCGAAGGCGGCUCUCUGGUCUGUAACUGACGCUGAGGCUCGAAAGCGUGGGGAGCAAACAGGAUUAGAUACCCUGGUAGUCCACGCCGUAAACGAUGAGUGCUAAGUGUUGGAGGGCCGCCCUUCAGUGCUGCAGCUAACGCAUUAAGCACUCCGCCUGGGGAGUACGACCGCAAGGUUGAAACUCAAAGGAAUUGACGGGGGCCCGCACAAGCGGUGGAGCAUGUGGUUUAAUUCGAAGCAACGCGAAGAACCUUACCAGGUCUUGACAUCCUUUGACCACUCUAGAGAUAGAGCUUCCCCUUCGGGGGCAAAGUGACAGGUGGUGCAUG